GGCCUAAUACAUGCAAGUCGAGCGCGCCCUUCGGGGUGAGCGGCGGACGGGUGAGUAACGCGUGGGAAUAUGCCCUUCUCUAAGGAAUAGCCUCUGGAAACGGAGAGUAAUACCUUAUACGCCCUUCGGGGGAAAGAUUUAUCGGAGAAGGAUUAGCCCGCGUUAGAUUAGGUAGUUGGUGGGGUAAUGGCCUACCAAGCCUACGAUCUAUAGCUGGUUUGAGAGGAUGAUCAGCCACACUGGGACUGAGACACGGCCCAGACUCCUACGGGAGGCAGCAGUAGGGAAUCUUAGACAAUGGGGGCAACCCUGAUCUAGCCAUGCCGCGUGUGUGAUGAAGGCCCUAGGGUCGUAAAGCACUUUCGCCAGAGAUGAUAAUGACAGUAUCUGGUAAAGAAACCCCGACUAACUCCGUGCCAGCAGCCGCGGUAAUACGGAGGGGGUUAGCGUUGUUCGGAAUUACUGGGCGUAAAGCGCACGUAGGCGGAUUAGUAAGUUAGAGGUGAAAUCCCAGGGCUCAACCCUGGAACUGCCUUUAAUACUGCUAGUCUUGAGUUCGAGAGAGGUAAGUGGAAUUCCGAG
This 582-nucleotide ribosomal RNA is filed under the name uncultured Alphaproteobacteria bacterium. RNAcentral describes it as "bacterial SSU rRNA". It matches the Rfam family "Bacterial small subunit ribosomal RNA", at positions 45 to 673 of the family's 1533-position model. The record is from RNAcentral. Lineage: Bacteria; Pseudomonadati; Pseudomonadota; Alphaproteobacteria.